UUGACUCAGGUCUUAGAACAACGUUUCGUAUUCGCUCGUAGUGAGCAGGUUGACGUUGUUGGAUAGUCGGAGUUUUUCGUUUCAAGUCUACGUAAAUAGACUCUAGAUUAAAGUAGUGUUGACUCGAGUCUCUUCUACGUGAACCUUCGACGUAGUCGAAUCGGUUACUGGUGUGCGGACCUAGGUUGAGUGGACCUAGAAGUUCUGAGUGUUGAUGUAUUAUCUCAAAUUUGGUAAUAUUUGGGAUCAGAAAUCCUAACCGUGGGACUGUUUUUGUCCACAGGUUAUAGGAUGGUAUUCAUUCUGAUGAGUUUUGGUCCGUAGACCUUGGUUUGGUACGUUUCCCUCGUCUUGUUUUUGUGGAACCGUAGUCCUAUUCUCCCCUUUUCAGAGGUUGAUCUGUCCAAUUCUAGAAUUGUGACUGACCAGUAUCCAAAGGUGUUACCGCAUUGGUGGAGCAAUGUCAGAGUUCGAGUACGGUGGGUACAUGGUCAAGUUUCGGGGACGAAACUUCUUUUAAGGGGGG
This 526-nucleotide long non-coding RNA is filed under the name Ananas comosus (pineapple). RNAcentral describes it as "long non-coding RNA (ACOM_LNC033425)". The record is from RNAcentral. Lineage: Eukaryota; Viridiplantae; Streptophyta; Magnoliopsida; Poales; Bromeliaceae.